This 459-nucleotide ribosomal RNA is filed under the name uncultured bacterium. RNAcentral describes it as "partial 16S ribosomal RNA". It matches the Rfam family "Bacterial small subunit ribosomal RNA", at positions 338 to 795 of the family's 1533-position model. The record is from RNAcentral.
CCUACGGGCGGCUGCAGUGAGGAAUAUUGGUCAAUGGACGCAAGUCUGAACCAGCCAUGCCGCGUGCAGGAAGACGGCUCUAUGAGUUGUAAACUGCUUUUGUCAGGGAACAAAGGCGGGGACGCGUCCCCGGAUGAGUGUACCUGAAGAAAAAGCAUCGGCUAACUCCGUGCCAGCAGCCGCGGUAAUACGGAGGAUGCGAGCGUUAUCCGGAUUUAUUGGGUUUAAAGGGUGUGCAGGGGGUCUGUUAAGUCAGCGGUCAAAGCCCGGGGCUCAACCCCGGCCCGCCGUUGAAACUGGCAGUCUCGAGUUGGAGAGAAGUAUGCGGAAUGCGCGGUGUAGCGGUGAAAUGCAUAGAUAUCGCGCAGAACUCCGAUUGCGAAGGCAGCAUGCCGGCUCCACACUGACGCUGAGGCACGAAAGCGUGGGUAUCGAACAGGAUUAGAUACCCUUGUAGUC